Non-coding RNA from Pelobates cultripes (western spadefoot toad), 664 nucleotides. Lineage: Eukaryota; Metazoa; Chordata; Amphibia; Anura; Pelobatidae. The record is from the annotation of a GenBank genome assembly.
GUCAGGUGUAGUAAAAAUACCUAAGACAAAGAACUACUUUUUCUUUUAUUUUAUCCUAUUGUAUAGCGCUGCAGAAUUUGUUGGCGCUUUAUAAACAAUAAUAAAUUAUUAAGAGAAAUAGAUCAGAAAUGAAGAAAAGAAGAACAGAUCUUAGCUCCAGUAAUCCCCUCCAUUCCUUGUUACCCCCUCUUUAUCUCCUCGUUCUAUCCUGAUUGUCUUUUAUCUCACAGUUUUCUUCUCCAUUCAUUCCUUUCCCUCUCUCCUAUCAUUGUGUUUCGCUGGAGCAGGGAUGGGUAACCUCUGUCUACCCAGGAGCUGUCACAAUCCUCAGCCAGCAAGAUUUUACUUGACCAUAAUAUGAGCAGUGACAGCACUCUCGUAAUUGCAGCAAGAUUGCAUCAAUCAUAAAAGCAGGUGUCAGUUUUCUGUGGAUUUUGACUCCCAUGAUGCUUGGCCAACCAAGUAGCUGGCUUGUCACGGUGUAAGAUUCACGUCUCUGCGCUGUUCCCUGUCAUGUGAUCCGUGUGUGUAAACGUGCUGCAACCUGGGAAAUUGUGGAAUUUUAUCAAAACCAGAUUUUGGUUCCUCCAUUUGAAUAAAUGAUUAAUAUCGUCAUUGAGUAUUUCUUAACCCCUUCAUGGCAUACGAUGUGCCAGAAUUGUCG